GGGCGGUUAGCUCAACUGGCAGAGCGCCACCCUUACACGGUGGAUGUUACAGGUUCAAAUCCUGUACCGCCCA
RNAcentral lists this transfer RNA (73 nucleotides) under Verrucomicrobiota bacterium. RNAcentral describes it as "tRNA-Val". It matches the Rfam family "tRNA". From Rfam's summary of the family: Transfer RNA (tRNA) molecules are approximately 80 nucleotides in length. Their secondary structure includes four short double-helical elements and three loops (D, anti-codon, and T loops). The record is from RNAcentral. RNAcentral also lists the same sequence under 2 other names. Lineage: Bacteria; Pseudomonadati; Verrucomicrobiota.